This 422-nucleotide unclassified non-coding RNA is filed under the name Hevea brasiliensis (rubber tree). The record is from RNAcentral. Lineage: Eukaryota; Viridiplantae; Streptophyta; Magnoliopsida; Malpighiales; Euphorbiaceae.
GAGCUUCUGAAUCUCAGCCUGUAGAUGUCACAUGCAAAAGAAAAAAAAAAGGAUUAAGGACUGACUAUUACGGAUAUACCAAAAGAUUUACACAGUAUAGUUCUAAACUAGCAAAACAUUUGUGGAUAAGGAUGUAAGUGUGAAUUUUAAUGAAGAGGAUGAACAAAAUGAAGAGGAGAGAUAAAAAUUCCAGAAAAGGGGACUAAGGAUAUGGCAUACUCAUUUAGUAGAUAAAAUACCAGGGAGAAUAACAUAAACAACUGUGAAGUCCACUACUUAAUACCAAGCGAAAAAAAAUUACCAAGCACCCAGAACAUGCCAUCAUAAGGUAACAUUCUAACAGAUUUUCACAUUUCCCACAAGAUAUCCUUAUUACAAAAAGACAUUGCAAGGACUCACUUUUUCUCUAUCAUUUAGCUUUU